Molecule: ribosomal RNA, 703 nt
Filed under: Atlantibacter sp.
Lineage: Bacteria; Pseudomonadati; Pseudomonadota; Gammaproteobacteria; Enterobacterales; Enterobacteriaceae
Description: bacterial SSU rRNA
Rfam family: Bacterial small subunit ribosomal RNA
Source: RNAcentral
CCCUGGUAGUCCACGCCGUAAACGAUGUCGACUUGGAGGUUGUGCCCUUGAGGCGUGGCUUCCGGAGCUAACGCGUUAAGUNCGACCGCCUGGGGAGUACGGCCGCAAGGUUAAAACUCAAAUGAAUUGACGGGGGCCCGCACAAGCGGUGGAGCAUGUGGUUUAAUUCGAUGCAACGCGAAGAACCUUACCUGGUCUUGACAUCCACAGAACUUNGCAGAGAUGCNUUGGUGCCUUCGGGAACUGUGAGACAGGUGCUGCAUGGCUGUCGUCAGCUCGUGUUGUGAAAUGUUGGGUUAAGUCCCGCAACGAGCGCAACCCUUAUCCUUUGUUGCCAGCGGUCAGGCCGGGAACUCAAAGGAGACUGCCAGUGAUAAACUGGAGGAAGGUGGGGAUGACGUCAAGUCAUCAUGGCCCUUACGACCAGGGCUACACACGUGCUACAAUGGCGCAUACAAAGAGAAGCAAUCUCGCGAGAGCAAGCGGACCUCAUAAAGUGCGUCGUAGUCCGGAUUGGAGUCUGCAACUCGACUCCAUGAAGUCGGAAUCGCUAGUAAUCGUGAAUCAGAAUGUCACGGUGAAUACGUUCCCGGGCCUUGUACACACCGCCCGUCACACCAUGGGAGUGGGUUGCAAAAGAAGUAGGUAGCUUAACCUUCGGGAGGGCGCUUACCACUUUGUGAUUCAUGACUGGGGUGAAGUC